UUGUAUUGUCUUGAGCAUAUUGUUGGUUUCCUGUGUUGCAUACCUAACUAAUGGUAUCGUUUUGAUUGAUCGAAGUCCCUUUUCAUCUUGUGUUGCCUUUGCGACGCAUGAUGAACCCCGAAGCGGUCUCGAUGUUCCACCAUGUUGAUACUAGUGUUUUGAUGUUGUGGCCCAUUUAGCGUUGCUUGGUUUCGUGGAUACAGAACAUGAUUUGGGCAUAGGGUCACACGUGACUCUUGCUUUGUCCUUUACCAGUGUUCUUUAUAACGACGGUUCAUGCGCGCCUAGGCUCGUACCUGCGCGAUGUUCUUUGUCGAAGAGGAAUGC
Molecule: unclassified non-coding RNA, 327 nt
Filed under: Senecio coronatus
Lineage: Eukaryota; Viridiplantae; Streptophyta; Magnoliopsida; Asterales; Asteraceae
Also listed under: 1 other name
Description: partial external transcribed spacer
Source: RNAcentral